GACGAACGCUGGCGGCGUGCUUAACACAUGCAAGUCGAACGGAAAGGCCCUGCUUUUGUGGGGUGCUCGAGUGGCGAACGGGUGAGUAACACGUGAGUAACCUGCCCUUGACUUUGGGAUAACUUCAGGAAACUGGGGCUAAUACCGGAUAGGAGCUCCUGCUGCAUGGUGGGGGUUGGAAAGUUUCGGCGGUUGGGGAUGGACUCGCGGCUUAUCAGCUUGUUGGUGGGGGAGUGGCUUACCAAGGCUUUGACGGGUAGCCGGCCUGGGAGGGUGACCGGGCACAUUACGACUGAGAGACGGAGCAGACUGCAACGGGAGGCAGCGGUGGGGAAUAUUACACAAUGGGGGGGAGCGUGAGACGGCAACGCCGCGUGCGGGAUGAGGGCCUUCGGGGUGUGAACCGCUUUGGCCUGAGACGAAGCGUGAGUGACGGUAAUGGGUAAAGAAGCACCGGCUAACUACGUG
This 468-nucleotide ribosomal RNA is filed under the name uncultured bacterium. RNAcentral describes it as "partial 16S ribosomal RNA". It matches the Rfam family "Bacterial small subunit ribosomal RNA", at positions 28 to 507 of the family's 1533-position model. The record is from RNAcentral.